RNAcentral lists this ribosomal RNA (403 nucleotides) under Verrucomicrobiota bacterium. Its description in RNAcentral is "Verrucomicrobia bacterium partial 16S ribosomal RNA". It matches the Rfam family "Bacterial small subunit ribosomal RNA", at positions 355 to 776 of the family's 1533-position model. The record is from RNAcentral. Lineage: Bacteria; Pseudomonadati; Verrucomicrobiota.
UGGGGAAUAUUGCACAAUGGGGGAAACCCUGAUGCAGCGACGCCGCGUGAGCGAAGAAGGUUUUCGAAUCGUAAAGCUCUGUCCUAUGAGAAGAUAAUGACGGUAUCAUAGGAGGAAGCCCCGGCUAAAUACGUGCCAGCAGCCGCGGUAAUACGUAUGGGGCGAGCGUUGUCCGGAAUUAUUGGGCGUAAAGGGUACGUAGGCGGUCUAUUAAGUCAGGUGUGAAAGCGUGAGGCUUAACCUCAUUAAGCACUUGAAACUGAUAGACUUGAGUGAAGGAGAGGAAAGUGGAAUUCCUAGUGUAGCGGUGAAAUGCGUAGAUAUCAGGAGGAACACCGAUGGCGAAGGCAGGUUACUGGGCCGUUACUGACGCUGAGGAGCGAAAGCAUGGGGAGCGAACAGG